RNAcentral lists this ribosomal RNA (307 nucleotides) under uncultured cyanobacterium. RNAcentral describes it as "bacterial SSU rRNA". It matches the Rfam family "Bacterial small subunit ribosomal RNA", at positions 28 to 339 of the family's 1533-position model. Lineage: Bacteria; Bacillati; Cyanobacteriota. The record is from RNAcentral.
GACGAACGCUGGCGGUGUGCCUCAUACAUGCAAGUCGAACGAUAAGGUUUCUUCGGAAAUACAUAAGUGGCGGACGGGUGAGUACAACAUAGGAAAUCUGCCCCAGAGAGGGGGACAACAGAGGGAAACUUCUGCUAAUACCCCAUACGAGCUUAGUUGAAAUACUAAUCUUGAAAACUCCGGUGCUCUGGGAUGAGCCUGUGCCUGAUUAGCUUGUUGGUGGUGUAAUGGACUACCAAGGCGACGAUCAGUAGCUGGUUUGAGAGGAUGAUCAGCCACAAUGGGACUGAGACACGGCCCAUACUCC